Long non-coding RNA from Apis laboriosa (Himalayan honeybee), 3305 nucleotides. RefSeq lists it as uncharacterized. The record is from RefSeq and is a predicted model, not a curated record. Lineage: Eukaryota; Metazoa; Arthropoda; Insecta; Hymenoptera; Apidae. The transcript is spliced from 3 exons.
AUCUACGAGCGAUCGUAUCUCAACUUGAGACGACUUUCAACUAUAUAAACCAACUAUAAUCUAUAAACGUGUCAUAUAUGUUUUCUCUGGAACAUCGAUUAACGGGUCUCGUUUCACUGUGCAGGGUCAAGUUUAGCGAUCCUGUUCGGAUUAAACAUGGCAGCUUCGUCGGUCGGAAGCGCGUUACCAGGGUGAAAGGGUGGUGUUUCACCGGGGCGCGUUUCAACGCCAGCGGUUCGGAAAUUUCGUUUCACCUUCGAUGCAAACGAACAGGAUUUCGAAGCCGACGGUAAGGGAAAAUUUAAUUCGGGUCUUAACCCAGUUCCGGAAGAAUGCGCACCGAGAAGGACCCGAAACGAGCGUCGAUACGCUUUUGCAUCCGCCGUAUCGAAACAGCUCGAAUCAACAAACUGAAUACGUACACAGAGAUUCUUGCCACUCGUGUGUCUCUUUUUUGACGAGAGAAGGGAUUGUAAACUCCUCCAUGUUAACUUCAACCCCUGAUAAAGAUGACUCUGAUGUUAAAGGAGUUCAAGUUCGAGUUCAGAAAAUUCGAAGUUUGAAAGAAGUUUCGUUCGGAGACAAAUUGACAACAAGCUUGAGAUGUUACAAUAAUUCGAAGAUUCUAUCAAAUUUAAAGUAUGUAAAAGAGUUUUGAUUUUUCUUCAAUUUUUAUUCCUCCAUGAGACACGUAAUAUCGAUAAUAUCAUUAAAAUAUCGAUAACAAAUGAAAGUAACUAUAAGAGUUAUUUCUAUUUCUUCUUAUUCAAAUUUAUUAUUAAAGUUAUUGUUAAUAGAAAUAGCUUAAGUAAACUACGGUAUAAUUUUUCGAUAAAAUGUAUUUAUUUUUAUUACAAAUAAUACUUUUAUCUUAAUAACAAUUUUCAAUAAGAAGAAUAUAGAAACUCUUAAUGAUAUCAAUAAUCAAUAAUCACAAUUCUAAAUAAAGAACUAUCAACCCUCUGAUUACAUAUCUCACCAAAUCUAAGAAAAAUUCCUCGAAUUGAGUUGAAGAGGAAAUACACAAAAAUAUCAAUAUUCCCCAAGAAAACGGAUCUGCGAUUUUAUAAUAAAUUUUUACGAGUGUAGAAAAUUGAGAUUGGAAAAUGUCGUUUCAAGAUCACGUUGGAAACCAUGCCGAAAUAUUCUAAGAAAUAUAGAAUCCCAAAGGUCCUUCAAGUACUCCAAGUUUCUCUUAAAAACGACAACUGUCCUCUCGCAACUUCACUUUACAUCCUUUUAUUAAGUGUCUUAACAAUUCUCUUCCCACGCGACACGAUACUAGAAGUAACAUUGGAAGAAUUAACGACGUUCCCUUGGGUAAUCUUUCGCGAAACUAUUAUACAUAUUGUACAAUUAAUACUAUUGUACCAGCUUAGACGGUAGAAUCCCUAAUUAUUUUCACAGUCGUGAAAGCUAUCCAAGUUGGCACGUGGAGGGAGGGGAUCUCUGCACAAGUCUGUAAGCACUCACUUGUUUCGAGAACAGCGAUGCGGCCGGAAAUGAAGAUCUCCACUGUUGUUAAGUUUACCCUACUAGCGGAAGGAAAGUAAAUAGAGCGAUUGUUUGGGAUUGAAGAUUAUCUUUAACGUGCUAUGUGACAUCACCACGAUUCCCGAUGAUUCGAUUUCACGAAGAGAAAAGAGACGUGCAGAGGGCAAAAACCUGUGGACGAUGCGGAGGGUGUAUUUAAGCCACGCGACAUUGAGCGUCGGAGUGUUGCUGGCAAGCUUCCACCGGAAAAUGAAAUUCUCGGAGUUCGCCGAUAUUGAACGAACCACCCCUAAUGGGAAGUAGAGGAAGCCGAAAAGGAAUCGCGACCUAUCCUCUUCAAGAGUGUUUCUGCAACGCGCCAUUUGUCAAUUCUCGACGAAAGAAACGAACGAAGGAAAAAAGGGGACGAAAUAAUAAACGGCGUGCACGAUGAAAAGAAACGAAAACACGUUAAAUAAGAAUGGAGAGAAGGGGCGAGCAUCGCAUUUAUUAUUUACUUCGUAAAACGGAUGUGGAAGCGCGGCUAAGACGAGUUCAUUUACGAGUUCCCAAGAUACGACUUCCUUUUCUCCAUCUCUGUAUAUCGCGAAGAAAAAGUUAAGAGACCGAAUAUCACGGAUAGACAGGAAGGGAAGAAGAGAUACUACCAAUCAGGAGUUUGGGAUUUCAGCCGUGGGAUUUUGUUAAAGGAGUUUGCGAGCGAAAACCGGGAUACGUCGUCGAAUAUCGAAAAAUCUGUAAACAACGUAAAACCUCUCCCUCUUUCUUUGAGCGAGGUGUGUAUAUAUGUACACCCUCGACGUGCGUGAUCUUAUGCGGAAAACAGGGGACUCGGAUUUUAUCGUGAUAAAACAGUAUCAUUAGAGGAUAUCUCGAGAUUUCGCGGCUAAGCUGGCGAUGUCGCGUUAAGCGGAUCAACGAUAUCGAUUUUUAACCCCUGGCAAGCCUGGGGAUAUGUGGCGAAAUGAUAAAUUUCUCUUGUGGAAAAGAGAAAACUUGUUAAAAAUGAAGUGAAAUUGAUCUGUUGGCUUUCGUAAUUUGUGUCACGUUGCUUAUACGCGAAAGAAGGACGAAAAAAAUAUUAUACGCUGUGCCUUUCUCGCCUACUAAUAGCCCGAGGAUGAAGAUUCAAAGCUUUGUCUCUCUUAUUUUUUCCCGUUAUCAUCGUGACUUCUCGUUUUGAUAUAUUUUUGGCACAAUUACGAUAUAAUGAUGCAAUUUAAUCGACGAAUUUCCCUUAUUUUAGUAAAUAAAAAGUGUGAUGAUAACGCGAAUUGUGUAUAUUGAUUUAAAUUCAAACAAUUGUAAUUAUUCAUAAUUGAAUUAAUGAUUAAACCUUUGUAUAUUUCGAUAUACAUAUCUCUAUAUAAAUGUAUCGCUUUAUAAUGUUAACUCGUUAAUAUACGUGUAUUAAUGUAAUGUACAAUACGUGGAUUAUAUAUGGAUGUAAUCAUGGAAGAAUCGAUUCUUUGAAAAGGGGAAACAAACGUUAAAAGUUAAUAUAGAAAAAUGUCAAUCAAGGUUUACUAAGUUAUUAAGUUAUAAAGCAAUUGAAGUUUGUGUUAAACGAAAUAGAAUAAGAUCGUUCUAUCUUUGUUAAACUGUCAUCACACUAUUUUCUCGCCUCGUUUCAUCUAACGCAAACUUAAAUUGCUUAUAACUUAAUAAAUAUAUAACUUAUAACUUAAUAAAUAAGCCUCGACCGACAUUUUUGUAUUGCAACUUUUGCGUUUGAUCUGAAUCCUAUAAAAUAUACCCACCAAAGAUAUUCUAUGAAUAUAUUAACAUAUGUUAUAUUAUAAUCUUAUGUA